Molecule: ribosomal RNA, 520 nt
Filed under: uncultured bacterium
Lineage: Bacteria
Description: bacterial SSU rRNA
Rfam family: Archaeal small subunit ribosomal RNA
Source: RNAcentral
AACCUCCGCAAUGUGAGAAAUCGCGACGGGGGGAUCCCAAGUGCCAUUCUUAACGGGAUGGCUUUUCAUUAGUGUAAAGAGCUUUUGGAAUAAGAGCUGGGCAAGACCGGUGCCAGCCGCCGCGGUAACACCGGCAGCUCUAGUGGUAACAAUUUUUAUUGGGCCUAAAGCGUCCGUAGCCGGUUUAAUAAGUCUCUGGUGAAAUCCUGUAGCUUAACUGUGGGAAUUGCUGGAGAUACUAUUAGACUUGAGACCGGGAGAGGUUAGAGGUACUCCCAGGGUAGAGGUGAAAUUCUGUAAUCCUGGGAGGACCGCCUGUUGCGAAGGCGUCUAACUGGAACGGUUCUGCGGUGAGGGACGAAAGUUAGGGGCGCGAACCGGAUUAGAUACCCGGGUAGUCCUAACUGUAAACGAUGCGGACUUGGUGUUGGGGUGGCUUUGAGCUGCUCCAGUGCCGAAGGGAAGCUGUUAAGUCCGCCGCCUGGGAAGUACGGUCGCAAGACUGAAACUUAAAGGAAGU